GGCCUAUGGGCUGAAGAUGGAUGUCCCAACAUUACAGAGGAACUUCGGGUGACUGUCCAGGGCCCAGGCAGAUGGCGGGGAAGGCAACAUGUUACAAAAGAAGAUAUGAGUAAAUGCCUAAACGAAGACUUGAGAAACACAAAGAACUGGAGCAACCAUGAAAAAAAUUCAAGAUACGAAAAGAGAAUUGAAUAAGGAGGUAGAAUCUCUGAAGAAGAACCAAACUGAAGUAAAACAAAAUGAAAAACUCAGGAAAUCAAACAAAAAGCUCAGAGGCAAGCUUAACCAUGGAUCAUAUGGAAGAGAGAGUAUCAGGUCUUAAAGACAAGGUAGAGGAACUCAGUCUAAGAAAAUGUUAAAAUAGGACCAGAAAAGAAAGCCAUUGUGUCUCAUAAUAAAACACCAAAUAAACAGAAAAAAGAAAGUGUACUAAAAGUUGCCAGAGAAGAAAGUCAAGUGACAUACAAAAGCAUUGGCACUGGAAUAACAACUGGCUUUUCAAUGGAGACAGAGAGGAAAGAAAUAAAGAGAGAAAGGAAGGAAGGAAGAAAGGGAAGAAAGGAAGGAAGGAAGAAAGAAAGAAGGAAAGGAGAGCCCUAGACUGGUGCUCUACACAUUCUGAAAGACUACAGAUGCCAGCCCAGAGUAUAAUGCCCAGAAAAAUUAUCAGCCAUACUGAAUCCCCCAACCCCUCCAAAAAUACAGAAUAAAAGACUGGAUUAAAAAACA
This is a long non-coding RNA of Mesocricetus auratus (golden hamster), 729 nucleotides long. RefSeq lists it as uncharacterized. The transcript is spliced from 2 exons. The record is from RefSeq and is a predicted model, not a curated record. NCBI's taxonomy places the organism in Eukaryota, Metazoa, Chordata, Mammalia, Rodentia, Cricetidae.